UAGAAACAAGCAUUAGCAUUUCAUUUACGUUGAGAAGAUUCUUAAAUAUUAUUUUAAGGUUUCUAA
Molecule: transfer RNA, 66 nt
Filed under: Altiverruca navicula
Lineage: Eukaryota; Metazoa; Arthropoda; Thecostraca; Verrucomorpha; Verrucidae
Description: tRNA-Val
Source: RNAcentral